Long non-coding RNA from Astyanax mexicanus (Mexican tetra), 1135 nucleotides. RefSeq lists it as uncharacterized. NCBI's taxonomy places the organism in Eukaryota, Metazoa, Chordata, Actinopteri, Characiformes, Acestrorhamphidae. The record is from RefSeq and is a predicted model, not a curated record. The transcript has 3 exons.
GGGCCCGGUGACGCAGCGCUGGUAUAAAUAGGGAGGGCAGGGCUGUAGCUCGGCCUUUGUGGCUGGUGGAGCUGGAGAAGUGGCAGUGCUGUCUGUGUGUGUUCGUGGCCCGUAAUGUGGAGUUCUGACUGCAGCUCCCAAACUGGUAUGUGCAGUACUUCCCAACUACAUGGUAGGCUGAAUAAGGGGUCACUCCCUUCUGUGAGUUGUUGUAGAGCCAGCAGAGCAGUUCUAAGCUCAGUCAGUAAGUUGCAUCCCAAGUUCAUUUGAAGGGGAUUUUUUUUUUCCCUUUUCCUGUUUUGCCAAAUUAGUGGAUGGCAGUAUGUAAGUUGCUCGUAAAAGUUGAUUACGGGAAGGGACUCCUGGGAACGCCUACACCUUUUAAGUUGAGUUAAGUUUCAACACUGCCUGCUCAUGGCGAAACGGCGAGAGUUAACGGAUUUUGAGCGAGGUCUGAUAGUAGGUGCCAGAAGGAUGGGGCGUUCAAUUACUGAAGUUGUACUUGCAUUUAACUUUCCUCGCUCCACGGUGUCGCGUGUGUACAGGGAAUACUUGGCAGGCAUUACCUCCCACGGUGGACAGCGCAGUGGCCGCCCACGGAUGCUUAAUGAUGAGGACCUGAAGCGUCUGGAUAGCAUUGUUUGUGCUAACAGGUAUGCAACUCUGGAUGAAAUCACAGCUACAUUUAAUGCCGGAGGCCCCAAACAAGUGUCACGCAGGUCAGUGCAGCGAUGUUUAGCUUCAAUGGGAUAUGUCAGCAGAAGACCCACCAGAGUGCCUGUUGAGAUUACAACACCAGUGGCACCGGACAAUAGUCAACCAGACCCUCAGACCGACUGAUUGGACUGGGUUGUGCUCUGUCUAAAAGUGCGUCACUUUGGCAAUGUUUGCAGUUUAGGACUUCAGUGUUUCAUUCAUAAUGUUUUCAGAAUUAACCUCUGAAGUGUUGAGAGAAAUUGUGCUGAAGUUUAGUUUCUCCAGUUUUACCUACCAAAUCUUAAAUUAAUCCAAUAUGGUAGAGCAGGCAAAACGCCACUGUUUGGGACUGGGGUUGCGGGCCACUUAUGUAGGUCCAUGGGUUACUUUGUUUAAAUGUAAAUCUGUUAUUUUACUCUUAAUAAAAUAUUUUGUUGCA